UAUUGGGAAAGCUGGUGAUGACUGUGGUAGAUAUCUAAUUUGUGUGUAAAAUUAUGUAAAUCUAGUGUGACGUAAUUGAUUUAGGGUGUAUGAAAAUUCCGAACAUGUAAUGAUCAUAAGGCAAUGUGGCUGGUGGAGCUGUGGCUUGAGUAGAAACCACGCCGGUAAGACGCCGAGCAGUGUAAAAGGCGAAAGUGACUGCAUCCAAUCGCUCGGAAGUCGCGUCAAAUUCGGCCCCGCAGUUGGUGUUAACGGUGUGAAUUAUCGUCUGCACCAAUGCCCUGCGGUCAAGCAGUGUAUGGCCGAGCACCGUUGGAAGAAAGGCUUAAAAGCAGCGAAGGAAGCGUGUACGUUAGCUCAUCGAUCCACCUAGAGGGUGUCGAUGAUUUCUCAAAAAUUACCUCUUUGUCAAGACUGGCAAAUAGUGUCGAGCAGUCCCGGAAAUAAGUGCAACGUACACAUCACGACCGCCCCGCGGGUCACAAUAGCGUGAUGACCCUGAUGUACCACAAACGAUGUAAUUUCCUUUCACCCUUUGCCUGAACCGACGCGGUGAAAUGGCGGGGCAAGUGAACCACCAAAGCAAAUGGUUUGAAUUUUGCAUAAAACCAGCACAAAGAAACAUCCAACGACUGCCGACGAUCUCGGUGGCUUUGCUCGUGCCUGUUGAAACCUACGGUAAACAAUAACCUUUCUACCCUUUGUGAACGCCCCUCACCUUCCCCUCGGUUUCGGUUCGCUUGGCUUACGAAAUCCAUCUCGAGCUAUCUUACACCGGGAAUGGUUGGCCUCGAAAAUGUUUCACUUCCUUGCCCGGCUUUUUAACGGCACCUGGGGGAAAUGGGCGUGUGUGUGUGUGUGUGUGAAGAUGAGAAGCAAAACUUCACCACAGCCAGCAUACAAUGCGCCAGGCCCGAU
This is an RNA transcript of Anopheles merus, 918 nucleotides long. RefSeq lists it as uncharacterized. The transcript is spliced from 3 exons. Lineage: Eukaryota; Metazoa; Arthropoda; Insecta; Diptera; Culicidae. The record is from RefSeq and is a predicted model, not a curated record.